AAAUAUUAACUCACAACCAUCAACGCCCGGGUACUACGAGCCCCAGCUUAAAACCCAAAGGACUUGACGGUGUCCCAUCCACCUAGAGGAGCCUGUUCUAUAAUCGAUAAUCCCCGCUAAACCCAACCUCCUCUUGCAAUCAGUCUGUAUACCUCCGUCGUAAGCUUACCAUAUGAAUGACCCCAGUAAGCUAAAUGAUUAUAACACCCCAAUACGUCAGGUCAAGGUGCAGCUCAUGAGAAGGCAAGCAAUGGGCUACAAUUUCUAAUCUAGAACAAACGAAACACUGCAUGAAACUCAGCUGUGAAGGCGGAUUUAGUAGUAAAAAGAAAAUAGCGUGUUCUUUUUAACUAGGCCCUGGGACGUGU
This 368-nucleotide ribosomal RNA is filed under the name Nanorana yunnanensis (Yunan spiny frog). RNAcentral describes it as "partial 12S ribosomal RNA". It matches the Rfam family "Bacterial small subunit ribosomal RNA", at positions 875 to 1384 of the family's 1533-position model. Lineage: Eukaryota; Metazoa; Chordata; Amphibia; Anura; Dicroglossidae. The record is from RNAcentral.